CGAAAGUCGGGACUAGUGAUCCGGCACCUCCUGGUGGAAGGGGUGUCGCUCAACGGAUAAAAGGUACCCCGGGGAUAACAGGCUGAUCUUGCCCAAGAGUCCAUAUCGACGGCAUGGUUUGGCACCUCGAUGUCGGCUCGUCGCAUCCUGGGGCCGGAGUAGGUCCCAAGGGUUGGGCUGUUCGCCCAUUAAAGCGGCACGCGAGCUGGGUUUAGAACGUCGUGAGACAGUUCGGUCCCUAUCCGCCGCGCGCGUAGGAUACUUGAGGAAGGCUGUCCCUAGUACGAGAGGACCGGGACGGACGAACCUCUGGUGUGCCAGUUGUUCUGCCAAGGGCAUGGCUGGUUGGCCACGUUCGGAAGGGAUAACCGCUGAAGGCAUCUAAGCGGGAAGCCUGUUCCAAGAUGAGGUAUCCCACCCUUUGUGGGUUAAGGCUCCCAAUAGACCAUUGGGUUGAUAGGCCAGAUAUGGAAGCACAGUAAUGUGUUGUUGAGUUGACUGGUACUAAUAGGCCGAGGACUUGUCUAC
Molecule: ribosomal RNA, 528 nt
Filed under: Amycolatopsis sp. SID8362
Lineage: Bacteria; Bacillati; Actinomycetota; Actinomycetes; Pseudonocardiales; Pseudonocardiaceae
Description: Bacterial large subunit ribosomal RNA
Rfam family: Bacterial large subunit ribosomal RNA
Source: Rfam by way of RNAcentral